CGUGCUCGAUUAUGGUAGUUGGUGAGGUAACGGCUCACCAAGCCGAUAAUCGAUAGGGGCCGUGAGAGCGGUUGCCCCGAGAUGGGUACUGAGACAGCGACCCAGGCCUUACGAGGCGCAGCAGGCGCGAGACCUCCGCAAUACACGCAAGUGUGACGGGGUUACCCAAAGUGUCCUUAUUGGACUGUGGCGGGUGAGUAAUGUUCCCCGCUAGAAAGGAGAGGGCAAGGCUGGUGCCAGCCGCCGCGGUAAAACCAGCUCUUCAAGUGGUCGGGAUAAUCAUUGGGCUUACAGUGUCCGUAGCCGGUUUAGUAAGUUCCUGGUAAAACCGGGCAGCUUAACUGUCCGUAUGCUAGGAAUACUGCUAUGCUAGAGGGCGGGACAGGUCUGAGGUACUACAGGGUAGGGGUGAAAUCUUAUAAUCCUUGUAGGACCACCAGUGGCGAGAGCGUCAGACUGGAACGCGCCUGACGGUGAGGGACGAAAGCCAGGGGAGCGAACCGGAUUAGAUACCCGGGUAGUCCUGGCCGUAAACGAUGCAUACUAGGCAAUGGUGCGGCCAUGAGCCGCAUCAGUACCGUAGGGAAACCGUUAAGUGUGCCGCCUGGGAAGUACGGUCGCAAGGCUAAAACUUAAAGGAAUUGGCGGGGGAGCACCACAAGGGGUGAAGCCUGCGGUUCAAUUGGACUCAACGCCGGGAAACUUACCAGGGGAGACAGCAGAAUGACAGUCAGGUUGACGACCUUACUCGACGAGCUGAGAGGAGGUGCAUGGCCGUCGCCAGUUCGUGCUGUGAGGUAUCCUGUUAAGUCAGGCAACGAACGAGAUCCGCGCCUUUAUUUGCCAUCAAGAAGUCACGACUUCGUUGGGAACACUAAAGGGACCGCCGUCGAUAAGACGGAGGAAGGAGCGGGCAAAGGCAGGUCAGUAUGCCCCGAAACCCCUGGGCUACACGCGGGCUGCAAUGGUGCGAACAAUGGGCUGUAACUCCGAAAG
Molecule: ribosomal RNA, 996 nt
Filed under: uncultured crenarchaeote
Lineage: Archaea; Thermoproteati; Thermoproteota
Description: bacterial SSU rRNA
Rfam family: Archaeal small subunit ribosomal RNA
Source: RNAcentral